Molecule: ribosomal RNA, 442 nt
Filed under: uncultured bacterium
Lineage: Bacteria
Description: partial 16S ribosomal RNA
Rfam family: Bacterial small subunit ribosomal RNA
Source: RNAcentral
CUACGGGCCGCUGCAGUAAAGAAUCUUCCACAAUGGACGAAAGUCUGAUGGAGCGACACCGCGUGAGGGAUGACGUUCUAACGAAUGUAAACCUCUUUUGUGCAGGAGCAAAUUUUUGAGUUAACUGCACGAAUAAGCACCGGCUAAUCACGUGCCAGCAGCCGCGGUAAUACGUGAGGUGCAAGCGUUAUCCGGAAUCACUGGGCGUAAAGCGUCCGCAGCCGGAAAUUUAAGUUUGGAGUGAAAUUUCAGAGCCCAACUCUGAAAGCGUUCCGAAAACUGGAUUUCUAGAGUAGUGCAGGGGUGCGUGGAAUUCCGAUUGUAGGGGUAAAAUCCGUAGAUAAUCGGAGGAACACCAAACGCGAAGGCAGCGCACUGGGCACUUACUGACGGUCAGGGACGAAAGCGUGGGGAGCGAAGGGGAUUAGAUACCCGUGUAGUC